Molecule: ribosomal RNA, 310 nt
Filed under: uncultured bacterium
Lineage: Bacteria
Description: partial 16S ribosomal RNA
Rfam family: Bacterial small subunit ribosomal RNA
Source: RNAcentral
AAGAGACAGCAGCAGCCGCGGUAACACGAAGGGGGCUAGCGUUGUUCGGAUUUACUGGGCGUAAAGGGCGCGUAGGCGGACUGAUAAGUCAGGGGUGAAAUCCCAAGGCUCAACCUUGGAACUGCCUUUGAUACUGUUUGUCUUGAGUUCGAGAGAGGUAAGUGGAACUGCGAGUGUAGAGGUGAAAUUCGUAGAUAUUCGCAAGAACACCAGUGGCGAAGGCGGCUUACUGGCUCGAUACUGACGCUGAGGCGCGAAAGCGUGGGGAGCAAACAGGAUUAGAUACCCCCGUAGUCCCUGUCUCUUAUAC